This 253-nucleotide ribosomal RNA is filed under the name uncultured bacterium. Its description in RNAcentral is "partial 16S ribosomal RNA". It matches the Rfam family "Bacterial small subunit ribosomal RNA", at positions 524 to 776 of the family's 1533-position model. The record is from RNAcentral.
UACGUAGGGGGCAAGCGUUGUCCGGAAUUAUUGGGCGUAAAGAGCGUGUAGGCGGUCCGGUAAGUCCGCUGUGAAAGUCCAGGGCUCAACCCUGGAAUGCCGGUGGAUACUGCCGGGCUAGAGUCCGGAAGAGGCGAGUGGAAUUCCUGGUGUAGCGGUGAAAUGCGCAGAUAUCAGGAGGAACACCAAUUGCGAAGGCAGCUCGCUGGGACGUUACUGACGCUGAGACGCGAAAGCGUGGGGAGCAAACAGG